UUCACUCACCCCCUUUUGCAUAUCUGCCUAUAUACCGCCGUCGCAAGCUUACCCUACUAAGGUCAAAUAGUAAGCAAAAUUGGUAUAACCCAAAACGUCAGGUCGAGGUGUAGUAUAUGAGGGGGGAAGAGAUGGGCUACAUUGGCUAAUUUAGUCAAUACGGAAAACUAUAAUGAAACUUAUGCUUGAAGGUGGAUUUAGUAGUAAGUAAAAAACAGAGUGUUUUACUGAACAUGGCCCUUAAGCGCGCACAUACCGCCCGUCACCCUCUCUUAAAGCCCAUAAGCUUAAAUUACUAAUUAUACUUCCCCGCUAACUAAAGGGAGGGAAGUCGUAACAUGGUAAGUGUACCGGAAGGUGUACUUGGAAG
RNAcentral lists this ribosomal RNA (370 nucleotides) under Cynoglossus itinus. Its description in RNAcentral is "partial 12S ribosomal RNA". It matches the Rfam family "Bacterial small subunit ribosomal RNA", at positions 966 to 1522 of the family's 1533-position model. Lineage: Eukaryota; Metazoa; Chordata; Actinopteri; Pleuronectiformes; Cynoglossidae. The record is from RNAcentral.